UACGAAGGGGGCUAGCGUUGCUCGGAAUCACUGGGCGUAAAGGGUGCGUAGGCGGGUUUUUAAGUCAGGGGUGAAAUCCUGGAGCUCAACUCCAGAACUGCCUUUGAUACUGAAGAUCUUGAGUCCGGGAGAGGUGAGUGGAACUGCGAGUGUAGAGGUGAAAUUCGUAGAUAUUCGCAAGAACACCAGUGGCGAAGGCGGCUUCCUGGACCGGUUCUGACACUGAGGAGCGAAAGCGUGGGGAGCGAUCCGG
This 253-nucleotide ribosomal RNA is filed under the name uncultured bacterium. RNAcentral describes it as "partial 16S ribosomal RNA". It matches the Rfam family "Bacterial small subunit ribosomal RNA", at positions 524 to 776 of the family's 1533-position model. The record is from RNAcentral.